Molecule: ribosomal RNA, 163 nt
Filed under: Acer albopurpurascens
Lineage: Eukaryota; Viridiplantae; Streptophyta; Magnoliopsida; Sapindales; Sapindaceae
Description: 5.8S ribosomal RNA
Rfam family: 5.8S ribosomal RNA
About the family: 5.8S ribosomal RNA (5.8S rRNA) is a component of the large subunit of the eukaryotic ribosome.
Source: RNAcentral
AAAACGACUCUCGGCAACGGAUAUCUCGGCUCUCGCAUCGAUGAAGAACGUAGCGAAAUGCGAUACUUGGUGUGAAUUGCAGAAUCCCGUGAACCAUUGAGUCUUUGAACGUAAGUUGCGCCCCAAGCCGUUAGGCCGAGGGCACGCCUGCCUGGGUGUCCGC